CAGCAGCCACGGGAAUACGAAGGGUGCAAGCGUUACUCGGAAUUACUGGGCGUAAAGCGUGCGUAGGUGGUGGUUUAAGUCCGUUGUGAAAGCCCUGGGCUCAACCUGGGAAUUGCAGUGGAUGCUGGGUCACUAGAGUGUGGUAGAGGAUAGUGGAAUUUCCGGUGUAGCAGUGAAAUGCGUAGAGAUCGGAAGGAACAUCUGUGGCGAAGGCGACUAUCUGGGCCAACACUGACACUGAGGCACGAAAGCGUGGGGAGCAAACAGGAUUAGAUACCCCGGUAGUCCCUGUCUCUUAUAC
Molecule: ribosomal RNA, 301 nt
Filed under: uncultured bacterium
Lineage: Bacteria
Description: partial 16S ribosomal RNA
Rfam family: Bacterial small subunit ribosomal RNA
Source: RNAcentral